This 506-nucleotide ribosomal RNA is filed under the name uncultured bacterium. RNAcentral's name for it is "partial 16S ribosomal RNA". It matches the Rfam family "Bacterial small subunit ribosomal RNA", at positions 28 to 523 of the family's 1533-position model. The record is from RNAcentral.
GAUGAACGCUAGCUACAGGCUUAACACAUGCAAGUCGAGGGGUAACAAGAGAAAAGCUUGCUUUUCUUGUUGACGACCGGCGCACGGGUGAGUAACGCGUAUCCAACCUGCCUAUAACUAGGGAAUAACCUUGCGAAAGUAAGACUAAUACCCUAUGAUUUCCUUUGAUGACAUCAGAUUAGGAAUAAAGAUUUAUCGGUUAUAGAUGGGGAUGCGUCUGAUUAGCUUGUUGGCGGGGUAACGGCCCACCAAGGCAACGAUCAGUAGGGGUUCUGAGAGGAAGGUCCCCCACAUUGAAACUGGGACACGGUCCAAACUCCUUCGGGAGGCAGCAGUGAGGAAUAUUGGGCAAUGGGCGGAAGCCUGAACCAGCCAAGUAGCGGGCAGGAUGACGGCCCUAUGGGUUGUAAACUGCUUUUAUACAGGAAUAAAGUUAGCCACGUGUGGUUAUUUGUAGGUACUGUAUGAAUAAGGACCGGCUAAUUCCGUGCCAGCAGCCGCCGUAA